Molecule: long non-coding RNA, 1592 nt
Organism: Oncorhynchus keta (chum salmon)
Lineage: Eukaryota; Metazoa; Chordata; Actinopteri; Salmoniformes; Salmonidae
Exons: 3
Source: RefSeq, a predicted model, not a curated record
UAGAGGAUGAGCUGACCAAUCAACGCUCUACUUGUGUGAAUAUUUUAAUGACCAGUGUACACCCACACAGAAUAGCUGCUUUUUAACAUAGCUUCCCUUCCAAUAUUGUUUAUUUAACUAUUUCACUCUCAUUUUGUAAGUAGUUAUAUUUCAUAGAAAUCUGGAAACACUAGACACUUACUUUAAGUUAUAUUUUACUCCAAUAUGAGUCACGAGUCCCCUUUGGCACAUUGGAGUUGGUUGUGUGACCUUCUGACGAUCGGUGAAGGGAAGUUGGUGUUCUUUCUUAUGACAAAAGAGAUGAAAAUCUUUGAAUCGGUUCCUGUGUUUGUUUAGCCCUCCAUGCACUUUCCAUUCGGCACCCUCUCCUGAAGACACGCACUCUGUCUGACGGGAGCAGGAAGGCCAAAGGGAAAGCCAUGAGAAGCGCGGAGUUUAUCCAGCCGGUAAAGGAGAGGCCAUGGACAGACUCUGCGGUGGCCCGGAGAAUGAUGACCACAGCCCUGGGGCUGCGGAGAGGUGGAGCGCUCUCACAACAUUUCUGACCGCUACAGCAGGACCAUGCCUCAGGAGUACCUGGCCUGAUUCCGCCUUGCUGUCCCCAGUCCACCUGGUCGUGCUGCUGUUUCAGUGUCUGUCUGUCUGUCUGUCUGUCUGUCUGUCUGUCUGUCUGUCUGUCUGUCUGUCUGUCUGUCUGUGCGUGCACGUGGGUGUGUAUCCUAGGUCCAAAUACAUUUAAAGGAUCCCCAAACACAUAAUGAAAUUUUCAUGUAAACUGCCAUUAAAAGGGGCAUUAGUACACAAUCAUCAAAAUCACACAAUUACUGUGCAAAAUAGUUCUAUCAGCCCAGUCCAAUUUCCAGUCAUUAAACUCUCCCACCCAUCAACCCAGUUCUUCCAUGAUUCAUAAAUACUUUCCAGACAUAUAUCACCACUGCCAGUGGCAUUCAGCAGUUGUUAGUACACUGCAAAUUAGAGAAAGUCUCUCAAACUGUAGAACCACAAGAAAAAAUGUAUGAAGAACGCAGAUAGUGCUUUCCUUUCGGUGUGUAUCGAGGUGCUUUCCUUAGAGAGGUGUAUCACACUGUGGGACUAAAGACAGCUCUUGAAUCACCCUUUAAAUACAACAAAAAAUCAAAAUAGCAGCACUAAUCAGCAGAUAAGCGUACCUACCCUACAUACAGUUUGCUGAUGGUUGUAGGCCAAUUAAACUUCAAAGAGCAGGAAUGAACUCCCCACCAUCAAAUGUAGCCUGUAGCCUUUCCUCACUCCAUCACCUCAGUUAGUGUGGAGACUAUAAGCUGUAAAGUCAGUGUGGAGACUAUAAGUGUUAAGUCAGUGUGGAGACUAUAAGUGUUAAGUCAGUGUGGAGACUAUAAGUGUUAAGUCAGUGUGGAGACUAUACGUGUUAAGUCCGUGUGGAGACUAUAAGCUGUAAGGUCAGUGUGGAGACUAUAAGCUGUAAGGUCAGUGUGGAGACUAUAAGUGUUAAGUCAGUGUGGAGACUAUAAGUGUUAAGUCAGUGUGGAGACUAUAAGCUGUAAGGUCAGUGUGGAGACUAUAAACUGUAAGGUCAGUGUGGAGACUAUAAG